This 468-nucleotide ribosomal RNA is filed under the name uncultured bacterium. RNAcentral describes it as "partial 16S ribosomal RNA". It matches the Rfam family "Bacterial small subunit ribosomal RNA", at positions 28 to 507 of the family's 1533-position model. The record is from RNAcentral.
GACGAACGCUGGCGGCGUGCUUAACACAUGCAAGUCGAACGGAAAGGCCCUGCUUUUGUGGGGUGCUCGAGUGGCGAACGGGUGAGUAACACGUGAGUAACCUGCCCUUGACUUUGUGAUAACUUCAGGAAACUGGGGCUAAUACCGGAUAGGAGCUCCUGCUGCAUGGUGGGGGUUGGAAAGUUUCGGCGGUUGGGGAUGGACUCGCAGCUUAUCAGCUUGUUGGUGGGGUAGUGGCUUACCAAGGCUUUGACGGGUAGCCGGCCUGAGAGGGUGACCGGCCACAUUGGGACUGAGAUACGGCCCAGACUCCUACGGGAGGCAGCAGUGGGGAAUAUUGCACAAUGGGCGGAAGCCUGAUGCAGCAACGCCGCGUGCGGGAUGACGGCCUUCGGGUUGUAAACCGCUUUCGCCUGUGACGAAGCGUGAGUGACGGUAAUGGGUAAAGAAGCACCGGCUAACUACGUG